UUGGUACUCUCUCCGCCCGAAAAUACUUGUCAUCAAAAUGGAUAAAAAGGGAUGUAUCUAGAACUAAUAUACGUCUAGAUACAUCCCCUUUUAUUCAUUUUGAUGACAAGUAUGUUCGGACGGAGGGAGUACUAA
Triticum aestivum (bread wheat) is the source of this 135-nucleotide non-coding RNA. The record is from Rfam. Lineage: Eukaryota; Viridiplantae; Streptophyta; Magnoliopsida; Poales; Poaceae.